UCUCCUUCUGCGAGACAUUUUUAGUAUUAUUUACACGUCAUCUAAAAUACGUUGAUUUCUGCACGAUUUCAAGAUAAUGGAGCGUUGAACCAGGUUUAAAUUCAAAACAGCAGCCUAGUAAGUCGAACGCGUAGAACUAAUAAAUUAUUCCUUGAACAGACUUAAGAUUGCAGUUGAGUAUUAUUUUCACCGAUACAUUCUAACUGCAAAUGUAAUGUUGUAGCCACAAAAUUGAAAGGUUUGCCGUGUUAUUUAAGGACCAUUGACUGCUUAAAGAUUUUUGUAAUCUGUAAUAAAUCUCAAGCGUAUAACCUUAAUUUUAAUAUUAUUUCAAGAUUUUGUGCUUUUUGCUUUUAUAGAUAUGUAUUAAACUUGUGAAGUUUU
Long non-coding RNA from Melitaea cinxia (Glanville fritillary), 384 nucleotides. RefSeq lists it as uncharacterized. The record is from RefSeq and is a predicted model, not a curated record. Lineage: Eukaryota; Metazoa; Arthropoda; Insecta; Lepidoptera; Nymphalidae. The transcript is spliced from 2 exons.